Molecule: long non-coding RNA, 151 nt
Organism: Sitophilus oryzae (rice weevil)
Lineage: Eukaryota; Metazoa; Arthropoda; Insecta; Coleoptera; Curculionidae
Exons: 3
Source: RefSeq, a predicted model, not a curated record
UGAUGGCAACAUUGAGGAAUCUAUAGAAUUAUUACAACCAGUUGAAAUUGAAGUGAUACAGCCAUCCUCUUCAAAUUGUGAAGCUACAACUAGCUACAGUAGACUACAGCUGGCUACAGAAGCUACAGCUAGCUACAUUGUUGUGGAUGAA